AGGGCAAGCCCAAAAUAGGAUCUUUUAUAACUGCAACCAAUCCGAUAACGGUCUGGCUGUGCUUGUACAUCUGCCUUAUAAAUACUUGCCCCUGGCAAUUGUUUUCAUCAAAACAGGUGCCUGAGGCACUCUGCGUAUUUUCAGGAUGGCUGAGCUCUCUGGGAUGCUCAACUUUGGUGGGAGGAUCUUGAAGAGGAUAGUUACCCUUGUGAAUAAUUCAAGAAGUCAAGAAACGAAUCAAACUCCUCCAACUCUUCAAACUCCUCAGCCUGCAAUGGUGAACGUGUUGUAUGCACCAGCUCUCAAUAUACAUAUUGAAAACCCAAACACGAGUUGCACAUUCGUCCCCCAAAAACAUUUGGCUAAAACCGAGUAAGGCUAAAGAUGCUGGAUUAAAAGUCCUCCUCUUUCUGAGCUUCCACACCCCAGGCUCCUCCCUUCUGGAUAAACCAAGGAAAAUGUCUCUCCAAAUGCUUGCAAUCUGGACUUCAUGCUUCCUUUCAGCCUGGUAAAUCCCUCUAUUAAUAUACUGAAAAGAAGAUAAGAAUUGUAAGUGGAUUUUAACUAUGAGCUCUACUCUAGGCAGAUGCGCAUUUGUAUGUGCGUGCAGCAUUCACACCCAUGUAUUAUAAUGCUCACACCAGAGGGCUUCCCUGCAUGACAGCCUAUAGGGCUUCACUCGCUCAAUUGUUAAUUCAUCUAAUAAAUAUGUGCUAAACACUU
Long non-coding RNA from Oryctolagus cuniculus (rabbit), 723 nucleotides. RefSeq lists it as uncharacterized. NCBI's taxonomy places the organism in Eukaryota, Metazoa, Chordata, Mammalia, Lagomorpha, Leporidae. The record is from RefSeq and is a predicted model, not a curated record.